AUACCUCAAGAGAGAUAUGCACCUGACCAGUCUCAGUCCCUACUGCAAUUUCACAGAAAAUAAGUUAUGAAGGUCUCUCUCCAGUAACAAGCCAGCAUCCAGAUGCCUUUCUGGAGAAGAUAAUAGCAGUUCCAAAGCAACAGACACCACAGGAUUUAUUUCCACAUGUUUUAGAAGAUUGCCAGAGAACCUGCAUGACUGUGAUUGACACAGAUAACAGUGUAAAAGAACAAUCCUGUAAUAAUGAUACAGAUCUUUCAUUGGCAACCCUAGGAAAUAUUUUCACAGAACCACUAGUGCUCACUGAACAGAGCAUAGAGACUGCUGAACUUGAAGUCAGUGAUUUGUUGAGACCUCUCAGUGAUUCUGAGAGUCCUAAAACGAUAAACCAACUGCAUGACGUAUUAGACUAUCAGGGUCAUGUCUUUUCCAGUGAUAUAUCAGCAGAUGAGAACAGUGAUGCCCUUCCAGUAGAGCUUGUGACAGCUCUGAAUUCCUUGUCAGGAUCUGUAAUACAGUCUGACAGUCCUGUAGUGCCAAGCAAGAGACAGCAUACCACUGAGGAAGAGCAGUUAAAUUCAGAAUCCAGUACUCCCCAGCAAGAUGAUGACUGUACACAAAUAACAAACGUGUUUGAGCCUCAGCUUCCUACAAUUCACGAAGAAGAAAUAAAAGCCUUAACAGGAUCUAACUUGCAGAGGACAACAAAUGAGCAACUUGCGGGUGAUCAGCAGAAAGGGAAAGAAGCAAUUUCAGAUUAUUGGAGUGCCAUCUGUAAUGAAAAACAAAAUGAGGAGGGAAGUUUGCAUUCAGUGGAGGCUGUUGUAUGUGCAGAAACCAAUAAAACAGCAUCAGGGAGAACAAUGCAGCUAGAAGAGACCUCCUCAAUAAAGUGUAGAGAUAGUAUUUCCUGUCAUCACCAAGCACUGGAAGAGACACAGCAGAGUAUGUCUCACAAUCACAGUACAACAAGAAACAAAACCAAGGAUUUUAGGUAUGACAAAGUCACGUGCAGUAUUCUCAAAUUCUUCUUUUUAUUAAUGUAACAAAUGUAAUUCAUACAGACUGCUUAUUCCUCACAUUAGUGAUUUUAGGUGAUCCAAAAGUAAAGGUUUUCCUUCUAUUUAAGUAUCUGGAAGUCAGUUUCUUUACUGAUUUACCAUUUAUUCAGUACUACCUAAGUUAGCAUAUAUCCUAGCAUGCUAUUGGAAACUUCAUUUUAAAAUCAAAUAUGUUAACCUUCUUAGGUCUAUCGCAAAUACCAAUUAAUACAGAGAAGAAAAUACUUUUUUUGAUUCUAAACAAAUCUCUUGUCAGUAAAAUUCUGAAACCUGCUUCUAAAGACAAGGAAGAUCUAGAAACCAACAUGUACCAAGAAAUAACUCCAAAUGAGGAUAGAAACGCUGAGCAGAUAAGGAGAAGCAAAAGAAUCAAAGAUAAAAUGAGUAAGAUAUUCUCUCAUACUUAUCAGGUUAUUUUUUUAUUUGAAAAGCUGUACUGAAUCAAAUAUAAUUCAUAGCCUUUCCAAUAUAUUGUGGCAUGAAUUUUUUUAAAAAGGUGACAUAAACAUUUAUUUUAAUAAUUAAAAUUAUUAAUAAUUCCCCUUCCUUGUUUAAAUCUGUGUAUUAGCAAUCUAACAGUUGACUUGUAUACACAAACUCAUUAGGAAUCAUCAGAAUUUUUCCAGGAUGCAUUUUUAAUCAUGGAAUGAAACUUACUGUAUAUUCUAAAAAGCAGAAGAAAAAUGUUUUAUUACAGAGUGAGAAUGUUGGUCAUAAUUCUAUUAUCUAGUAUUCAGCGUGCAACAUUAUUCUGAGGACAAUGGCAUCCCCAAGAACUGACCGAUACAAAGCAGUUUAUUUUAUUUUAAAUGCCUGCUGUUGUUGUUCUGUCUGUUUAUAUAUAGGAUUAUAGGCCUUCGCUAUUACAUACACUGAGCACUCUUUGAAGUAUUCUUCCUUGCAGUAUUCUUUGUCAGAGAGAAAGAUUGCUAUUUUUCAUCCUUUGAAGGUGAAUGCAAAGAAAUUCUUUUGCUCAUAGAGAAAGUGUGUAGGAGAACACAGAAUUUCCACAUUUACGUGCUUACCCUAGAGCCAGCCUGUAAGACUGGGGUCUUAAAAGUUUGUUUUUCUUAAAGCCCACUCAAUCUGUUUUUAUCUGUGCAGUUACAAACGUUUAAACAGAUUUAAAAGUUUGGUAGUAUUUGAACUGUUACAGCUACAUUACAGAUCUUAUAAAAUAUGAAUAAUUCUACCAGCAAUUAACAACCCUUCUCUCUUACAGGGUUUCAGUAUUCCCAGUGGAAGUACUAUUUUUGUGAGAUUUAAAGUUGGAUGACUAACUGCUCAUCUAUUUCAUGACUUAGUAGUUUCUACUUAAAAAACAGGCUGUUGUUUUUAGCAUGAUUUCUGCAGAAAGAGUUGUGCUGCCUAUAGAGGUAGCUUCAUGUUAAUCCAUCUAACAAGUUUACUCCCCUUUUGCAUCAAACCUAGCUAUCAGGAGUCUGUGAGUCAUCUUAACUUGGUAGUUCACUGAAAAAACAGCACCAAAAAAGUUUCAUUUUGGGUCAACAAGCAUCACUUGUUUUAUUCAUGGUCUGACACAAGGAAGGUGGUAGGGAACGUAGAGUACCAGUGGCAGGAAAUAGGUCCUCUUGAAAUAACAAUGCCUAAUUAAAUUGGGUUAAGUAUAAAAAAAUUGCACUAUGUUCGAUGAAUAUUUGUGUAGUGUAACCCCUUCUGAAAUUCUUGGCUGAUUUAAAAUAACUUUGAUUAAGCUAUUAAAUGAUUAAGGUCUUGCAAGGCUGGAUAGGUAGAAGAGAAAGACUUUUCAUGUGCUCAGUUGAAGGAAGGUGCUGGGUAAGUCUCUACCUACUGGAUUCGAAAAAUCUGUGCAGAGUUGAACAUUGAACAUAAAAAGGUUGGGAGCAAUUUAGACUUGGGCUUACAGUAUGCCAGAAUGCACAAAACAGUGGAGUCAUCAGGCUGCGUGAGUUACAGCUCUAAGAGAACAAUGUCUUUAAAGGUCCUGCUUAAAAUUUCUAUUCCUGACACUCAGCUGGAGUUUUAGGGCCAGCGAAAGGGCCACACACAUGGAGUUUUAGGGCCACAUCUGCCACAGACUGUGGAAGAGCAGUGGAUAUGGCAUGCACUCCCUGCAAACCCAAGGUUUUUCAUUAGUAGAUCAGCUAAUGGUCUGAGACAUUUGAGUGUGGUUUCCUGCAGGCCAUCUUCCUGUCCUGCCAUUUUCUUUCUUCCUUCCCUGUUUUUCAGAAGAGGCAGCAGACUCCAUGCAAUGAAGAGGUAAUGGGAUUGUGCUGCUGGUAAAGUGCAGGACAGCUCAUCUAUAUAUUGGAAAUCAUUUCGUCCAAACUGAAAAGCAUAAUGGGUGCAUAAUGCGAGACAGCAUUUCCUUUGUAAAAUAAUAAACAAAAAAAAUGAUGAUGGUUUGUUGUAUUU
Molecule: long non-coding RNA, 3458 nt
Filed under: Anser cygnoides (Swan goose)
Lineage: Eukaryota; Metazoa; Chordata; Aves; Anseriformes; Anatidae
Description: lncRNA (ENSACDG00005009077.1)
Source: RNAcentral